Non-coding RNA from Ictidomys tridecemlineatus (thirteen-lined ground squirrel), 6276 nucleotides. NCBI's taxonomy places the organism in Eukaryota, Metazoa, Chordata, Mammalia, Rodentia, Sciuridae. The record is from RefSeq and is a predicted model, not a curated record.
GAGAGGCGCUGAGCCCGGACGACGGGCGUUCGGCAGGCCGAGGCGCGGGCGCGGCGAUGUCUGGAGCUCAGGUGGGGAACCCGGACGCAGCCCGCACCCUCCACAGCCCUGCGCAAAGGGGCAGCCCACCCCGGCCCCCGGGAGUUAUUAGCCCGGCCAGCUUCGGUGGGCAAAGGGCGCCUCCUGGUGGCGUUUGGGGAACAGCGCGAGGGAUGAGCGUGCCCUGUUAACCCAAGAGACUGGCCUUGGUGGGGGCACGGAAGAUGGAGAGCCGGAGGAUUUCUGGGCAAGACCAUAUUGACCACGUUGUUCCACCUGUUCCAGGGAGCUGAAGAGCAACAGCUUGCACUUGAUGGUUCCAAGGCACUACUUAAUGAACACAAACAUCUUGGGAGGAGCUGUCAUUUCACGUUACCCACCAAGAGCCAAAGGCUAUGAGAGGGGAAGGGACCAUGUGGUAGGAUCAGGGGGAAACCAAGCCCCCUGACAUGCGGUUCCAUCCUCAUUUACUACAUCAUAGCUGUCUGAAAAAUGGGUCUGGGGAAUGGGAGCCCAGCAGGAACAGGAGGCCCAAGGGACAUGUGAACUCCUCAAACCUAUUAGUUCCCCUUUUCCAACCCACAGGGCCUCUGUCUUGAAAGCACCAAUGAACUGAUUGCCUCCCCUCACACACACAUACACCCUGCUAAUGCUGAACACUGGACUCUUUUGACCCCAGAUUGAAAUGUCAUCAAGUCAAGUGAGCAAACAUGCAAGCAAGGUUUUUACUGGGGCAUCCAUUCAGGAGACAGCUCUGCCAAGAAGUCAGUUCUGCUGGCAGGAAUUGGGGGAGAGGGGAAGAAGCUAGCUGAACUGUUUGCAGGUUGGGGUUUAGGAAUGUUGCCCCAAUGAGUUAAAUGAAAGCACUGAGGCUCUAAUGAUGCACCUCAUACUAUUUGUGUCAAGAGGCACAUUUGGAAUCUCACACUGUAAGUUAAGGUGGGAUGUUGUAAUGGCUGUCAGAGUGCAUUUGCCCUCUGUCCCUAUCUUACACUCAUCAGCACACCCAGUCUCAGCAAAAUUGUUUGUGAAAAAAUCGUCCCCAGACAUAUUUGGUUGGAUCUCAGGCAUGAAAGGUUUGUAUGUGAACUAUAGAAUAUUCAUUGACAUUUUCUUCCUCUUGGCCAGCCAGCCAGCACUGAGCUUCCUGCUUGGUGAGGAAUAUGACUCUCUGCAAGAGCCUUGUCCUCCCUCUCCCACCUCCAUACUGGGUUUCAAUGCUCCUUAGGAAGGGGAGUCACCAAACUGAACAGGGCUCCAUUUCUCCAGACAAACAUUAUUUAGCACCUACUGUGUGCCAAGAGCAAACUGCCCACACAAGUGUGGUUUCCAAAAUCCUUCAUAUCAGUUUUGUAAGGUAGGUGUAAGGGAAACCUAACCCCAUUUCACCGAUGAGGAAACCCGUUCAAGUUUAAGAUCACCUGCGAGACAGUAAGGCUCUGAGGUGAAUGGGCUACACAGCUGAGUUUAACUCUGGCUCUGUUCUCUCACUCUGGAACUCAUUCCCCUUACUUGCACAAAGGACAAAAUUAUCUAAUGGAAAGUGCCCUAGGCUGGCAGGAGUGAGGGGCAUCCCUGUGACCCAGCCAGAGGCUUCAAUUCCCUUGGCUUCAGUUUCCAUCUUCAAAUAUGAAGGAAGUAGCCUGGAAUAGUCUUAAAGUUAUUUCAAACUCUGACAUGCAUGAAUCCCUAGCCUACUGGAAGGAUGCAAGAUCAGCAAGACCACAGAGGCUAAGUGUCUGGGAAGGAAAAUAGUAUAAAAGCGAAAUGCUUUCUCAUAUUCUUUGGCCUGAUGAGCUCAUCCUAUGAACCAGGGAAGUGAGGAGGAGCUUUUGGCAGGUCCCAGAGAUUACUGAUGACUGGCAGUAGCCUUGGCUGUAGCCUCAUGAGGACCCCAGUUUCUUCCUUUCCUGCAAGGGUGAUAUUGAUUUUCUUCUUCUUUAAGUCUCCGUCCUUAGAAACAGGAGUCCCUGCCAGGCAGAGGGUGGGCAGCCAUGCCAGAGAAGCCUACUGUUAGCCCCAGCUGGUUGUCCCCCACUCACUUCGGGUCUCUUUCUUCCCUCAAGGCUGGCUGCUGAGUUCUUUUAAAAUACUCACUUCUUGCUCUCCACCUUCUUUCCUCCUGAACAUUGGUGCCACUUGCCAAUCAGAACACAGUUCCAGGCAAGCUAACUUCCCAAGCUCAGUCCUAGGUGUGAGAAGGUCUUUCCAGAUCAUUUUUUGAUUCCACAGUAGGGGAAGGUCAGAGCCCAGUGAGCUGGCUUGGCUGAUCUUGAAGGAAGAAGCAGAAUGAUUGGGAUGUGGGGCCCCCUCCUUUAGGACUUCUUGCCAGAAACCUUCCAAGCAGCCGACUGCUGGCUGUGCUAGAUAGACAGGUUUGGAUGUACUUGGGCAUCCCCGUGGAGGCUGGAGACUGCAGGAAGGAGUUUGUUCUCCUGGAUUUACUUUCAGCUCCUUCCAUCUUUGUAUUUACCUCAGGGUCAUGGAUGAAGACUACUUGAUCUGAAUUUCCUACCAUGUCUUUCCCACAGGUCCCUUGGAAGGUUCAUAAGUGCAUGAAUGGAGCCAACUGAGGUACAGUGACCGGGUGAUUUGUCCUCACAUUUAGUGUUCAUGUCAUCAUCAUGCCACUGUCUCUUAGAAACUAUCACAACCGUCUCCCUGCCUGUGGACUGGCUUCUUCCUCCAGUACACCCCCAAACGGCUGCCAGAGUGAUGUAUUUAAAACAAGCCCCACCACUUCACACCACUUCAAGUGAAAAAUCCUUCUAGCAUCCCACAUAACCGGGAAGUCUAGGCAUAAUGAAUACUGUUCACACUGAAAUGAAAAUGAAAAUCUGGAUCAUCCUUGAUCGGAAUACAACCUGCCUCUCAGUGCUGCAGCCCUGCUCUCAUCCCUAAUGUCUCAGUCCCCAUUUACUACUCUGCAGAGGAGAUCAGCUGCCAUGGCAAUUAGUUCUUCAUGAGAUCUUUGGUGCCUAUUAGGUGCCAGGCAAAAGAGAAAACAAGAUGAAUCCAGGGCGAGUCCUUUUGGAGUCCAAAGUCAAGUAAAAGGUAUUGUAGAUGACACAUUUUCCUUCUAACAAUUCUGGCCCAUUCUGACUUGGGGUAUUUUCUGUAUGGUAUCAUUAACCUACAUUGAUCAAUUAACUCAGUUUAGUGAACACUGUCCAGGCUAGAAGGCAGGGUGGGGCUGGAGAAGCAAUAAGUGGUUGAUGACAAUUUAAGAGUCAAGGACAAGGGGGAGGCGUCACUAGGAUGGGUGGAAACCCAAAACUAGAGAUAUGAGUCUUCCACAGAGCUGCAUGUAGCUGGAGGUCUACUGUCACUACAGCUACAGAUGUGGAGAAAGGGGCACUGUUGCUCAUGCAAAAAUGUAGACCAGGGCCGCCAAAGCUGCAGUCCUACACUCACAUCUCAGAACGGCAUUUUACAAGUAUGAUGUGCUUCCUCCUUCCACACCCCCUCUCCUCCUUGGAUCCCUACAGUUAGUCUAGGUUGGUCCCAUUAAGCCAUGUUAAAAAUACUUGCUUCUGGGAGGGAAGGGCUCAGCUGGAAGAAUGAUGGUCCAAGACCACCUUGGGAAGGGAUGAAGCUCCUUUAACUCAGAUGGGGAUGGGGGGUUGGAUGGAAACAAGGAAGCUGCAUUUUCCUCAUCCUUCUGCAUCUCCAAGAGUGACCAAAGAGACCAUACAAAUGAGCAGGAGCAAGAGGUAGCAGGAUGAGUGAUAGUGCAGCAUUUUCUAUCUGGGAGCAAAGCUUAAUCAAUUUAGCAAUGGCAGAUACAGAGCAACGGAUCUGUCAUCUCCAUGCAACCACCCCAGGAUAUCAGAAAUAAGGCAGCAGUUUCCAUGUUCCCCCAGGUGUUUGGUAUUUGGAAUUUAUCCAGGGUAUAGUUUUGUCUAAACAGUGGCAUUGUGUUCCUAAGAAUUAUUAUGGAGUGACAUGGAGAUAUUUGAAGGCAAAAAAAUGUGUGUGCACAUUUACGUAUAUAUGGGUAUGUGGGUAGGUGUACAUUUAUGUCUAUUUACACAAAUACUAUUUACAUUUCAGCAGACACCUGUGUUUCAACAUAUUGCUGGCCAGUUGUCUUUUUAGCUCAGUGGAGCAAUAAUUCAUUGAAUAGCAUCUGACAGGUAAGGUAUUGGGCACUAAAGGGGACAGAAAGAAAGAUUGGACAUGGUUUCUACUUUCAAAAAAACAUAGUCUGGUGCAUUUAAUUUUCCCUCCUAAAGGAAAACCUUUACAUUUUAUCUCACAGCAAUUUUCAAGAGCUUGAGCUCCGUCCAGGAAUUCAGAAUAGCAAAAGGAAUAAGCAGGAUUUCUGUUCCCCCAGGCCAGAUAUCCUAAUUGUCCCAGCUAAAUGAGGGGGUAGGAGAACCAUACUGGCCGCCGUGGUACACCCCUGUAAUCCCAAAUACUCAGGAGUGAGGCAGGAGGAUCCAAGUUCAAGGCCAGCCUGGGCAACUCAACGAGACCUUGUCUCAAAAUAAAAAAUAAAAAGGGCUGGGGAUGCAGCUCGGUGACAUCUCCAGGACUGAAAACAACAAUAAAAAAGGCAGUGGAAUGUGCCCAAGUAUGAAUUCCCUGGAGAAUACUCCACCAGACAGCUGCCAUUAAAGCAAAAUUUAAUGUGCAAUCAUUUCCACACUUGUUCUCCUAGAUACCAGGUAGAAAUCUUAAUUUUAGAAGAAUUCAGUUAUCUUAAUUUGGAAAACACUAAAGGAAGAUGUGGUAGCUGUGUUCAGGUAUUUAAGAUUUUCCCUAUGUUUCUCUACAACAAGGAUCAAUGGAUAGAAGACACAGAGAGGCUGAUUGUAGCUCAAAUAAGAAAGAAUUUAUGAGUUGCCUUAGGAGAUAAUGAGCUCCCCAGCACUGGAAGGAUACAAGCAGAUGGAUGGCUGUCUGCCAGGAGUGCCCCACAGGGUAUUCCUGCAGUAGAUUAGGGCAGUCCACAAGGUACUUUCCAUCUCUCAUUUCUUGGAUACUCAGCCCCUCUCUUUGGCCCAAGGCUAAAAGGAAAUUUGAAUACUUGGAGAAAUGGGACACUUCUUUUUGAAGGGAGAAUCUCGCCCCCAGCUCUGGAUUCAAUUCCCAGCAACACAAACACAAAACAAAACAAUAACAGACUUGCCUGUGUCUUUGGGCCUUUAAUUUUAGAUACAUGGACACUUUUCUUUAAAUGCAGUGAAGAUGCUUAAUACUAGAAAAUGCAGUAAUUAUUUAAGUACUCUAUUGACAAAAGCAAUGUUAUUGACACACACAAGUGUUACUGGGUAAAUAGCACUGAUGGCCUAGUUGGAAAAGGCCAGAUGUUUCCAUGUGAGAAAGAUAGUUCCAAAAUAAGACCAGUCUGAAUAAGGGAACAUCCGUGUUUGCUUCUAAAAUGACCUACAACACACACACAUUCAGGAAUGAAAACAGUAUGUGCAGUAAAUAUGCAAAAAAAGUAUCUCAAUGUAUCUACUGCCUUUGUACCUUGGAGUCAGUGGGCAUCUCAUCCAGCAGGAAGGACGGUUUCCUUCAAACAUUCUCAAGCAUUAAGCACUUGAGUAAAGCUCAGUACACACAGUGAAACCUAGGUCUUCAGAAUACCAAUGGACUCUAAGGCAACGGAGUCCACUGCUUUUCAGAUGCUAAUUAAUUAGGACAAGGUUGAGGUGAUCUGGUUGUCUUAAAAAUUUGGUGGGGAAAGGGGAACAAAAUUUGAAAAAUAUAAGCUAAAGAGGUAGACCCAGGCAAAAAUACUUGGACAUAAAUACCUAUCCAUUUAAUAACCAAAAUAGAAAAUGGAAUUCUCUCCCCUAACCUCCAAAGACAAAAUUUUUAUUUUCCAGUAGCAGUAAAAGGAUCUAUUUUAUAAUGUUGUUGGUUAAAGAAAUGGAGGGGUGGUACUCCAGGGCUGUGUUUUCAACUUCAGUUGAAUUUGCUGAGUUACUAUUCAGAGUCUUCUAGGUGGCAGGCACUGUCUUUGGUACUGGGUAUACACUUGUGAGCAGGCGUGGUCCCUGCAUGGGCCCAGGAGCUGGCCUACUGUGGUGCAUAGAAUAGCAUGCUGCCCUGUACACCUCCAAGGCGGGCUGACUGCUGAUUUCAGUCCUCAGCUCCAUACAACUGCCCGGCUGGGGGUGUGGCUCAGUGGCAGAGUGUGGCUUAGCAUCUGCCAGGCCUUGAGUUCCAGGCCCUGAGUUCCAGCCCCAGGACCAAAAAAAAAAAAAAAAACUCUGAGUGCAUGAA